This 22-nucleotide microRNA is filed under the name Monodelphis domestica (gray short-tailed opossum). Its description in RNAcentral is "mdo-miR-7291-5p". The record is from miRBase by way of RNAcentral. Lineage: Eukaryota; Metazoa; Chordata; Mammalia; Didelphimorphia; Didelphidae.
UGUGGCUCUCCCUGUGAAGAGA